This 492-nucleotide ribosomal RNA is filed under the name uncultured bacterium. RNAcentral describes it as "partial 16S ribosomal RNA". It matches the Rfam family "Bacterial small subunit ribosomal RNA", at positions 29 to 507 of the family's 1533-position model. The record is from RNAcentral.
AGUGAACGCUGGCGGUAGGCCUAACACAUGCAAGUCGAACGGCAGCACAGUAAGAGCUUGCUCUUACGGGUGGCGAGUGGCGGACGGGUGAGGAAUACAUCGGAAUCUACUUUUUCGUGGGGGAUAACGUAGGGAAACUUACGCUAAUACCGCAUACGACCUACGGGUGAAAGCAGGGGAUCUUCUGACCUUGCGCGAUUGAAUGAGCCGAUGUCGGAUUAGCUAGUUGGCGGGGUAAAGGCCCACCAAGGCGACGAUCCGUAGCUGGUCUGAGAGGAUGAUAGGCCACACUAGAACUGAGACACGGUCCAGACUCCUGCGGGAGGCAGCAGUGGGGAAUAUUGGACAAUGGGCGCAAGCCUGAUCCAGCCAUACCGCGUGGGUGAAGAAGGCCUUCGGGUUGUAAAGACCUUUUGUUGGGAAAGAAAAGCAGCAGGUUAAUACCCCGCUGUUCUGACGGUACCCAAAGAAUAAGCACCGGCUAACUUCGUG